This 114-nucleotide small nucleolar RNA is filed under the name Procavia capensis (Cape rock hyrax). RNAcentral's name for it is "Small nucleolar RNA SNORD89 (ENSPCAG00000019665.1)". It matches the Rfam family "Small nucleolar RNA SNORD89". Rfam says of the family: snoRNA HBII-289 belongs to the family of C/D snoRNAs. Lineage: Eukaryota; Metazoa; Chordata; Mammalia; Hyracoidea; Procaviidae. The record is from RNAcentral.
ACUGAGGGAUGAUGACAAUAAAAGGCCGAAUUGCAGUGUCUCCGUCAGCAGUUUGCUCUCUCUGGGUGCACAAUGACAAAAUCUCCUGAAGCGAACCACUCGUCUGACCUCAGU